This 87-nucleotide transfer RNA is filed under the name Aquimarina muelleri. RNAcentral's name for it is "tRNA-Leu". It matches the Rfam family "tRNA". Rfam says of the family: Transfer RNA (tRNA) molecules are approximately 80 nucleotides in length. The record is from RNAcentral. Lineage: Bacteria; Pseudomonadati; Bacteroidota; Flavobacteriia; Flavobacteriales; Flavobacteriaceae.
GCUGAAGUGGUGGAAUUGGUAGACACGUUGGACUUAAAAUCCAAUGGCCAUUAGGCCGUGCGGGUUCAAGUCCCGCCUUCAGUACCA